RNAcentral lists this ribosomal RNA (942 nucleotides) under uncultured bacterium. Its description in RNAcentral is "bacterial SSU rRNA". It matches the Rfam family "Bacterial small subunit ribosomal RNA", at positions 415 to 1397 of the family's 1533-position model. The record is from RNAcentral.
CCUUAGGGUUGUAAAAUUCUUUCGCUAGGGAUGAUAAUGACAGUACCUAGUAAAGAAGCCCCGGCUAACUUCGUGCCAGCAGCCGCGGUAAUACGAAGGGGGCUAGCGUUGUUCGGAAUUACUGGGCGUAAAGCGUACGUAGGCGGACUAUUAAGUCAGAUGUGAAAUCCCGAGGCUCAACCUCGGAACUGCAUUUGAAACUGGUAGUCUAGAGAUCAGGAGAGGUUAGUGGAAUACCGAGUGUAGAGGUGAAAUUCGUAGAUAUUCGGUGGAACACCAGUGGCGAAGGCGACUAACUGGACUGAUACUGACGCUGAGGUACGAAAGUGUGGGGAGCAAACAGGAUUAGAUACCCUGGUAGUCCACACCGUAAACGAUGAGAGCUAGUUGUCUGCAGGCAUGCCUGUAGGUGACGCAGCUAACGCAUUAAGCUCUCCGCCUGGGGAGUACGGCCGCAAGGUUAAAACUCAAAGAAAUUGACGGGGGCCCGCACAAGCGGUGGAGCAUGUGGUUUAAUUCGAAGCAACGCGCAGAACCUUACCUACGCUUGACAUGCCUGGACGACUCCGAGAGAUCGGUUUCUCCCUUCGGGGCCAGUGCACAGGUGCUGCAUGGCUGUCGUCAGCUCGUGCCGUGAGAUGUUGGGUUAAGUCCCGCAACGAGCGCAACCCUCAUCCUUAGUUGCCAUCACGUUUGGGUGGGCACUCUAGGGAAACUGCCGGUGCUAAGCCGGAGGAAGGCGGGGAUGACGUCAAGUCCUCAUGGCCCUUACGCGUAGGGCUACACACGUGCUACAAUGGCAGUGACAAUGGGAUAAUCCCCAAAAGCUGUCUCAGUUCGGAUUGUCGGCUGCAACUCGCCGGCAUGAAGUUGGAAUCGCUAGUAAUCGUGGAUCAGCAUGCCACGGUGAAUACGUUCCCGGGCCUUGUACACACCGCCCGU